GACUCCUACGGGAGGCAGCAGUGGGAAAUAUUGGACAAUGGGGGGAACCCUGAUCCAGCCAUGCCGCGUGUGUGAAGAAGGCCUUUUGGUUGUAAAGCACUUUAAGCGGGGAGGAGGCUACUUAGAUUAAUACUCUAGGAUAGUGGACGUUACCCGCAGAAUAAGCACCGGCUAACUCUGUGCCAGCAGCCGCGGUAAUACAGAGGGUGCGAGCGUUAAUCGGAUUUACUGGGCGUAAAGCGUGCGUAGGUGGUCUUUUAAGUCGGAUGUGAAAUCCCUGAGCUUAACUUAGGAAUUGCAUUCGAUACUGGGAGACUAGAGUAUGGGAGAGGAUGGUAGAAUUCCAGGUGUAGCGGUGAAAUGCGUAGAGAUCUGGAGGAAUACCGAUGGCGAAGGCAGCCAUCUGGCCUAAUACUGACACUGAGGCACGAAAGCAUGGGGAGCAAACAGGAUUAGAUACCCUGGUAGUCCAUGCCGUAAACGAUGUCUACUAGCCGUUGGGGUCUUUGAGACUUUAGUGGCGCAGCUAACGCGAUAAGUAG
RNAcentral lists this ribosomal RNA (542 nucleotides) under uncultured bacterium. RNAcentral's name for it is "bacterial SSU rRNA". It matches the Rfam family "Bacterial small subunit ribosomal RNA", at positions 334 to 867 of the family's 1533-position model. The record is from RNAcentral.